This 623-nucleotide ribosomal RNA is filed under the name Rotylenchulus reniformis. Its description in RNAcentral is "SSU rRNA". It matches the Rfam family "Eukaryotic small subunit ribosomal RNA", at positions 1009 to 1659 of the family's 1831-position model. Lineage: Eukaryota; Metazoa; Nematoda; Chromadorea; Rhabditida; Hoplolaimidae. The record is from RNAcentral.
CAGAUACCGCCCUAGUUCUGACCGUAAACGAUGCCAACUAGCGAUCCGCCAGUCGACUCAUCGCUCUGGUGGGGAGCUUCCCGGAAACGAAAGUCUUCCGGUUCCGGGGGAAGUAUGGUUGCAAAGCUGAAACUUAAAGGAAUUGACGGAAGGGCACCACCAGGAGUGGAGCCUGCGGCUUAAUUUGACUCAACACGGGGAAACUCACCCGGCCCGGACACCGUAAGGAUUGACAGAUUGAUAGCUUUUUCAUGAUUCGGUGGAUGGUGGUGCAUGGCCGUUCUUAGUUCGUGGAGCGAUUUGUCUGGUUUAUUCCGAUAACGAGCGAGACUCUGGCCUACUAAAUAGUUGGCACAUUGCCACUGUGUGCACAACUUCUUAGAGGGAUUUUCGGUGUUCAGCCGCACGAAAUUGAGCAAUAACAGGUCUGUGAUGUCCUUAGAUGUCCGGGGCUGCACGCGCGCUACACUGGCAAAAUCAGCGUGCUUGUCCUCCCCCGAAAGGGGUUGGUAAACCGAUGAAAAUUUGCCGUGAUUGGGAUCGGACAUUGCAAUUAUUGUCCGUGAACGAGGAAUCCCUUGUAAGGGCGAGUCAUCAACUCGUCCUGAAUACGUCCCUGCCCU